GGGUUGUGAGGUUAAGCGACUAAGCGUACACGGUGGAUGCCCUGGCAGUCAGAGGCGAUGAAGGACGUGCUAAUCUGCGAUAAGCGUCGGUAAGGUGAUAUGAACCGUUAUAACCGGCGAUUUCCGAAUGGGGAAACCCAGUGUGAUUCGUCACACUAUCAUUAACUGAAUCCAUAGGUUAAUGAGGCGAACCGGGGGAACUGAAACAUCUAAGUACCCCGAGGAAAAGAAAUCAACCGAGAUUCCCCCAGUAGCGGCGAGCGAACGGGGAGCAGCCCAGAGUCUGAAUCAGUGUGUGUGUUAGUGGAAGCGUCUGGAAAGGCGCGCGAUACAGGGUGACAGCCCCGUACACAAAAAUGCACAUGCUGUGAGCUCGAUGAGUAGGGCGGGACACGUGGUAUCCUGUCUGAAUAUGGGGGGACCAUCCUCCAAGGCUAAAUACUCCUGACUGACCGAUAGUGAACCAGUACCGUGAGGGAAAGGCGAAAAGAACCCCGGCGAGGGGAGUGAAAAAGAACCUGAAACCGUGUACGUACAAGCAGUGGGAGCACGCUUAGGCGUGUGACCGCGUACCUUUUGUAUAAUGGGUCAGCGACUUAUAUUCUGUAGCAAGGUUAACCGAAUAGGGGAGCCGAAGGGAAACCGAGUCUUAACUGGGCGUUAAGUUGCAGGGUAUAGACCCGAAACCCGGUGAUCUAGCCAUGGGCAGGUUGAAGGUUGGGUAACACUAACUGGAGGACCGAACCGACUAAUGUUGAAAAAUUAGCGGAUGACUUGUGGCUGGGGGUGAAAGGCCAAUCAAACCGGGAGAUAGCUGGUUCUCCCCGAAAGCUAUUUAGGUAGC
Molecule: ribosomal RNA, 844 nt
Filed under: Escherichia coli
Lineage: Bacteria; Pseudomonadati; Pseudomonadota; Gammaproteobacteria; Enterobacterales; Enterobacteriaceae
Description: partial 23S ribosomal RNA
Rfam family: Bacterial large subunit ribosomal RNA
Source: RNAcentral